Molecule: long non-coding RNA, 11317 nt
Filed under: Sarcophilus harrisii (Tasmanian devil)
Lineage: Eukaryota; Metazoa; Chordata; Mammalia; Dasyuromorphia; Dasyuridae
Description: lncRNA (ENSSHAG00000031077.1)
Source: RNAcentral
CGGGGCCAGAGCUAGGAAGGUGCCACCGGAGAGGCAGAGCCACGGAGCGCGGAGCUAUCAGGUUGUGUUGCAAGAAACCAGGGUAUGUUCGCUGUGUAUGCAUCCUCUCCACCAGUCUGGCAAGAGUGCUGCACGCUUGAGCGCGCUGGAAGCUACGUUCUGUACCUUGGUUCCUUCGCCAGGAAGAGAGGGUAGGUGCCAAGCGAGGAAAGGGUGGGAAGCGGCUCGCGCUAGAGCUAGGAUUACUGUGGGCUGGACCCGCCCGCUAGGUAGCUCACUUGGGCGGAGGAGUAGGGGAAGGGAGAGGAGAAGGAGUAGGCUGAGAGAGGCUGCAGAAGCGCUCCCUGGGUUGCACAACGUGCAACUCUGGGCACGGCGGCGGCUGUGGUGUGGGGAGAGGGGCGCUUGCCCGGGAAUCCUUUGGCGGUGAUUGCUGGGCCCUUGAAGCGAAGCUGCUUUCCUAGGUUUAGAGUAGAGCGGCGGCGGAAGAUACCCCGAAGAAGGGGCAUGCUGCCCGGGGCUGCGGCAGAAGGAAGCGGGCAGCCGGUUACUGAGGAGCCAGCCGGAGUGCUCAGGUGGCACUGUUGAAACCAAGUUAAGAGUUGUCAGAAGUUAAUAGAAAAUAAAUGAUAACAGUGAAGAAACACGAUUAAGUACAGAAACCUGAAAACCCAUAGAGGCUGAAACUGAGACUUGAAUUUACUGACUUGCCCCGGAUAGAAAGCAAGCUGGAUUGGAGUCUUCUGACUCCAACUGGGACCCAUGAGGAAUGAAAUGCUGAUAGCUUCUUACUUUGGAGGACUUCUGUAGAAGGGGGGGGUGGUGGAGAGGAGAGUUCCAAAGAAUCUGAAACAAAGCUUUUUAUCUACUUGCGAAGAUUUAUCUAGUCGUGAAGAGGGAGUUUUUAGCUAACGGAAGCUGCCGCAUUGUCCCCAGGAAAUAAUGCUUUAUCCAGAAUGGGUAAGUGAAAAAAUGGCAUUGCCUACUAAUGGAUAUCAUCUGGUGCAUGUUAGAAUUGUAAAAUUGUUUGCAGAUUCCUAAUAACUCUCUAGAAGCCAAGAACACAAAAGCACAGUGGAGGAAAAAAAAUUUUUGAGGGUAGUAUAAGAAUAUUUUUUAAAAUCUGGGAAGAAAAUCAGGCAAUUAAGAAAAAUUCAAUUGUGUUACUUGUUUCAGUUUGAGUAUAUUUAAUGCAAGGAGAUAAUUUUAAAGGGUGGAAAAAAUAGUAGAUAAGCAAAUGAAUUUUUCUAUGGAAUGGUGGCAAAAACAUCCUCUAUGUACAUAUUUCUAUCUACCUGACUAGUAAUAUAUAUCAGUAGGAGUGUUUUUCUAUAGGGAUAGUUAGUACCUUCUUCACAAGAAAAUAUCUAAUGAAAUCUUAACCAAAUAAUAGAUCAAAUAAAGUAAUUGAAUAAAUUUAUUUUAGUUGUGAUAAAUGAAUUGUGAUGUGGGGAUAGUCUUUUAUAAUCAUAUAUGUCAUGAAUUUCAAGAUUGUUCUAAUUUGUGGAUAUAUGGCUUCAGUUAGACCCAAGGAUGUUUUUCCCCCCUGUAUAAGUUAUCUUAUUUUUAAAUGUUAUAUUUAAUAUUCCUUCUCUCUGUGUGUGUAUGUGUGUGUGUGUGUGUGUGUGUCUGUGUGUCUCUCUCACUUUCUCCUUUAAUAUAAAACUUUCAAGUGAACUUGAACCAAAGCUGCCCCAUUUUUAAUUUUUCUAGAGAAAAAUAAACUUUAUCUUGAUAUGUUUAUAUAACUAAUAGUUUCUUUUUCCAGUGCUUUAAGAAAAUAUUUAUUGUUUUUAUUUUACGUCAAAAUUUGAUUACUUACUUUGGUUUUUUAUGAAUGGUAUGCCAAAAUGGUUGAUUAUAAGAGGAAAACAAUAAGAAUGAUGGGUAUAAUUUCUUAUUGGUCAGUAGGCCUAAUCACAUGAUCCCUAUUUAUAUAGUAAAACUGAGAUAGUAAAGGCAAAAAUUAUUUGGUGCCUGUUCUUUUUGGAUUUAAGUUUUUUAAAUUGUGUGUGCUUAGCAUAUAAAAGUUAUAACAAGAAAUGAGAAAAUGACUUGUGUGGCAAGUAUAUAUGUUUGUGUACUUUUAUUUUCUUAUAGUAACUAAAAUUGAAAAGUUUAAUGUGAGAUAAAGGCUCUUCGAUUAGAGAAACAUGCUUUUUGAGAAUUUAUCUGCUAUUUCUACAAAGCUAUUAUACUAUAAUUAUAAAUGUCAUUAAUCUGUUUAUAGAUUAUUGACAUUUACAAUAUACCACAUAUAUAUCAUAUCUAUAAUAUAACGAGGGUUAAUCAAGCUGCUUUAGGAAAUAGAAAAGGUGGUAGAGUUAAGAAAGAGAAUCAAUAUUACUGUCUCACCCUUUCUCCUCCCCUCUUUCCCAUCCUCCAACUUAAAUGCCCCUCUCCUUCCCCAUGGAAAAUGUUUUGAACAAUGCAUUUUAUAAAUCUAGAACUCAAGACUUGUGUGACUAAAUUUGGGGGAGUGGUGGAAAUGUCUAAUAAAAAAAGUAAUAAAAGAAACACUUUUGAGAUAAGCAUUCCUAUUAGGGGCAUGGUUCUCUAGUAAAUCAGAAAGAAUGUAAUACAACCUAUUGUGUAUCACAAUUGAUUUUAUUUAAGGUGUGGCUGACUGAACACCUGGAAAAAUUCUGCUUGCUUGUCCAAAGUACAUGAAUGUUUAGGUCCUCAAGUCUUUUGAUAAUGAGGGAAAGUGAGAAGUUUGUAGUUAGAUUAUUCAUCAAACUACUGAUUGGUGCUAAUUCAUGAAUGAUUCAUUGCUGUGUAUUUCAUUUCAUCAUGUCUGAAAUAUCAUGUUUUAAUAGAUCUGAUUCUCCCACCUCUCUGUCCCUUUAGGUCUUACUCAUCUAUUUGGAAAUACUUGUUUAAAUUACUUUAAAGUGUGUCAUAUUGGGUCCCAGUAAAUUUGUUUGCAUCCUAUCUAUUAAGUCUAACCAUCUCUUUUCACUGUCAUUUAGUAAUAAAAUACAUAUAUAAAAUGAAUGGCACUAUAAGAAAUACUUAUAUAAUGUUUAAUUUUGCCUUUGGGUACAUUUCAAUUUCUAGUGGUUAUUAUCAUUCAUGGGAAGGGGGAGGGGGUUUUGUUCUAGCACAUGUAUAAGAAAACACAUCUUUCCUUUAUCUUCUCUGUUAUGAAUGACGAUCCUCUCAACAGCAUUUACUAAUUAGCAAUAUGAACAUUUAUCCCCAUCUGGUUAUCCCUGUAAUUAAUUUUAAAGUAGUGAUUUGGAAUCUAUGCCUGAUUAAAUGUUGCAUUUAAAUAUAUAUAUAUUUGAGGAAGCCUUCAAUCACAGAUGAAACAAAUGAUCGGUUUAGUGCAAAAAGAAUAAGUUUCAUAAUAUUGCUCCUAUGGCAACAGGGUAGUUAGGUGUUUUGAAAUAUAGCUAUAAGCAUUCAUUGUAGAAAUGUCAUUCAGACCUCCUACUACAGCCUCAUUGGGUGGGAGAUUGAUAGGAAGGGAUAAAACCAGGCUAAGGAACCAGCACAUAACCCAUGUAUAUGCCUGUGUCUUUCUACAAACUGUCCCAAAAAUAAAAUUAGAAAGGUAUAGUUUGAACAACAUGGAAUAUUUCAAGAACUAAAUGAAGGACAUGCUAAGAGGGGGUCAGGAAAAUGGAGGAAAGUGGAGGAGAGAAAUUUAAGGAGCAAGAAAGGUAGUAGAAAAAUGUACUCAGUAGCUGAAAAUCUUUUCUCCCCUGUUAGCUGUCAGUGGGAACAUCUUGAACUGGUUAUAGUAUAAUUUCAACAUCUGAAAAGAUUUCCUUAAAAUGUGGUAUGGGGGGAAUUCCUUUGGUAGCAGUAUGGUUUACCACUUUAUAUAACAUUUAUGCAUCUCUCCUCUGUUAUUCUGAGGUGCAGUCUUUUUUCCAAGAGGUCCUGAAAGAAUGCUUGUUCAUUGGUUAUUUGGCUUCCUUUAUGUGCUACCUAAAGACAAAGAUGAGUUUUUAACAUUGAAUAUGAUAACACUUAAUAUGCUAAAUAGAUCAUGAUGACUUUAGAUUCUCAUUCUCAAGGAUAGUUUUUUUUUUUUUUUAAGCUGUUGAAAAAUGGUGAAAAUGAUUUGCUCUGGGAUCUUAAGUCUGAGUAAUUAUACACAUUUUAUAAAAAUGAAGGAUUUUUUUUUUGUUUUUGUUUUUGUUUUUUGUUUUUUUUUUUAGUUUUUGGGGAACUGGAGUUUAGCAUUGUAACCAAUUUUAAAUUAUUCAGGAAGUGAUGCAGUAUUGUGCACUAGAAAGACUGCUGGACUUUGACUCUAGGAUCCAGGGUUCAAAUAUAACUCUGCUGCUUAAUACCUUUGUGACCUUGGGCCCUGUCCCUAAAAUAAGGGGGAAGGGGAUUGGAUUCUAUGACCUCUAAGGUCUUUUGUGCUCUAAAUUUUUUUAUCUUAUAUUAAUGCAAUGCCCCUAUUCUCCUACAACUUUCCAACCCUAAAGUGUUUUUUUGUCUGCCCCUCCCCUCCCAUUUAAUGACACUUUCACAUCACCAGAGAGUGAAAAGUCAAAGGAAAAAGGACAUGAAGGUCAAAUUAUUAGAAUUCUGAUCAAACAUUUGGAGAGGAAGGUGUUGGAAUGCUUUAUUGAAAUAUGCACAGGAUUUCAAUUGUUCAGUAAUUCCUGGUGCCUCUCCUCCUUUCAUAACCAAGAGCAGCCUAUUGCUGAAUGUUUUGAAAAUGGUUCUUCUUAGUUUAUUGGUCUUUAUUUGAUCUCUUCAGACUCUUUCCAAUGUAAUAAUCUUUUUUUUUUUAAAUCAAUAUAUUUUCUUGGGCAAGGAAAAAAUCUUUUUUUCUCCUUUGAUGGUGGGGGAUGCUUUUUUUUUUAAAGCUAAUUUUGCAUUUCUACAGAAUUUACUCCAGGCUCUUUCCAAAAUGUAGAUAGAAGACCAGAGUCUGUCAUUAAUUUGGAGGAAAGAGGAGAAUGUGUAAGAAUAAUUGUUUUGUUGGUUAUGGAGAAAUAUGGGAUUUCCCCUACCCCCAAUAAAAUGAAAGAUUAAGAACCACAUUUUGUUUUCUGUAGCCAUGUAUCUCUUCUUGGUUUCAGUUUAGUAAUUCAUGGCAGAUGAUUAUAAAAUAUAGCCAUGACUCAACUCUGAGGGGAAAUCUAGGUAUUAAUUUAUAUACCUUCUGAAAGACACUUUUGACAUAGAUCUUGAGUAUAGUUUUUAUCAAAAUCAUAUAAAGUAUUGGCAUUCAACUCUUUCCCUUAUUUAUUAUUUGUAAUAAUAAGGAUAUUGAAAUUAUAUGGCAUUACUGCCAUUAUAAGUUUCUAAGAAAGUUUUUAUUGAACUGACAAAUUACUUUUUUAUUUGGAAAAUUAAAGUUAGACAAGUUAUUUUCAAGGGACCAUUAGAUUCUGUGUAUUGAGUGCUCUAAAUUUUUAAAAGUCAUAUGAUGGUUAUGCUGAUGAUUCUAGGAUUAGAGAUUUAGACCUGAAAGAACUUUAAAAUUUAUCUAUCUAGUCUAACUCACUUUACAAUUGAGGAAACUGAGGCCAGAGAGAUUAUGAAUUGGCCAAACUCACCAGAUAGGAUAGUAACUAAUUUAUGUUAUCAGAUUUUAAAAUUAACAGAGUGCUCUAUAUACAUUAUUUAAUUUGAAUGUCACAGUAACCAUAUAAAUUUUACCUUUGGAGGGAUAAAUGUUUUCACACUUAAAAAAAACAAACCUUCAUCAUUCAGAGGUGCUAUGCCUCCCGUUGUUGCUAGGAGAUAAAGGUAAUACUGAGCAAAAAGGAAAAUUAGGUCUUUAAAACUUGCCACUUUUUUUCCUCAGAAAAAUAGUACUGAAGGAGCUGUUUAGCUUCAAAUGAACUUAAAAAAGAAUUUUUAGUUUUAUGAUUCCUGCACCCCCCAGCUGAUACCCAGUUUUCUUCCCACUGUCACAAAUCACAGACUGUUAUAAGUAAUUGAAACUGUUUUUUGUCUGCUAGAUUUUUCUUGCUCUUAGAUCACAUUUAAUGCUAACCUCAAUGAAAAUUAUUUUUCUUUCUCAAAAAGUGACUGUAUAAUUCUAGGUAUUAAAACUGCAAACUUCAAACCUAGUAGACAUAAUAACUUUAAAUAAAGAGGAAACAACGUCAAAUUUGAAUAAAAAAUCAUUCAAAUUCUAAGUCGUAAUUAAAGUAUAUAGAAUAAAAACAUUUUGGGAUUUUGUAGGCUGUUUUUGGUUAAGGUAAAAUUUUGGAAGCAUUUUUAUCAUCCCUUAGAAGCAAAACACAAUCCUUUUCCAUUCACUCACUCUCUAUUCUUUCCCCCCUUUAAAAAAAAAAAUCUUGGGAAAUUAAUCCAAAAAUUGUCCUAAAUGCUAUAUUAAGGAAUGUAAGUAAUCUAAGCCUUGGCAUUUCCUGACUCAAGUUUCUAAAUUCUCAACUUAACCCAUUAUAUUAAGACCUUAAAUUUAUCCUAGUUUGUAGUAAAAAUCAUCUUGGUAUUAAAACAUUUAAAAUAUGUCACUAAGAUGUAUUGCCAUUUAUAAACAAUGCCAUAAUGUGUGUAUUUACACACACACACACACAUACAUACACAUACACACACAGUAUAUACUUUAUAUACAGGGUUUUUUUUUUAAGAUUCCAAAAAGUCAUUUUUAGUUGUGAGCAUUCAUUUCUUUAAUAUUUUGAAUGACAAAAAUGAGAUUCGGAGAAACACAGAAGUUCAAAUAUUUUAGAAAUAUUUGAGUGCCUUUAUGUAAUGUCUGUAAUGGGCUAUUUUAUUUUUCUUUAGCAGAAAAAAAUCACUAGAAAUAGAAAACUUUCCUUAUAGCAAAGGCAUUGACAAGAACAUAUUUUUUUUUUAAAGUUCUACUGAAAAGAAACUUUUGAAAAUAGCAGCUUUUUAUUUAUUUGUAACAUGGAUAUCCUAACCAUUGCUGAAAAAUAACUAAAUAUUUUUAUUAGCCAGCUAAAUAUUGGAAUGGAUAUCACCCUGAGCUGAGUUCAAAUCAAGCCUUUGACACUCACUGGCUGGGUGGCUCUGAGCAAAUCUCUUCACCUCUCAUCUUCACUUCCUCAUUUGUAAUUAACUGGAUAAUAAUAGCACCUGCUUCAUAGGAUUGUGAGAAUCCAAUGAGAUGAUAUAUGUGAAGUUCCUUGCAAAAAAUUAAAGAGUUGUUGUAGAAAUGUUAGGUACUGUUAUUGUUAUAAUGAUGGUAGUAGUAGUGAGUCCUAUCUUUUUUUUUUUUUUUUUUUUUUUUUUUAACCAAAGAAUUGCUCAGUGGAACUAACGGAUUAUAUUGGAGAGUCUAAAGUCAUUAGGUUGAAGAUUAUGGGGAGGAAAUAAGAAUGGUACCUCUCUUCUGUUUGACUGGGUGAGAUGACAAUUGUGUGUGUAUGCAAGAAAAUAGCUUUCCUACCUUAAAUCUGAAUUGAGUUGAAUAAUUUUAUAAAUAAAAGGUGGUUGUAAUAAAGAAAGGAGACCAGAUAGGUCACUUUAAAAUAAUGUUUGAUUAGAUUCACACAGGAUUUUAGCAGACAUUUUUACAGAUUGCUUCUAGAGAUGACCCCAGUUGAAAUUUUUCAGCCUUUCCCACAUUUUUCAGCAUCAGAAGGAUAUUUUGUUAAAUGCCAAUGGACAAUAGAAAUUUGAGGAAGCAUCAUGCCAGUGCUGUGGUUCAUGUUUCAGGGUUGUUGUUUUUUUUUUUUUUUAAACUUUGACUUCUUUCAUGGCUGGUUUAAUUAUUUUAAUAUCUGAAACUUAUAACUCUCUACUAAUUUGUGUUACUGCUUUCAUGAUGAAUACAUAACACAUUGAAAAAACUGACUAGAGGGAAACACCACAGUCUGUCCAAGUGAGUGAAGUCGAAAGUCUGCUUUUUUUUUAUUUGCACUAAAAAGUAUACUUGAUUUUGAAAUACAAAUAUGACAUUUUCUGCUUAUCUCACAGUUUUAAUGGAUCUAUUUUAGUCAUUCAUUAUCUAGAUAUAUCUAUUAGACAGUAUAUCAUAGGGGAAUUCCUGGUUUUCAGUUUAAGAACUCUCAUACUACCAGUUUUACUAGUAUAAUUUCCCCUAUUUCUCCCCUUAAUAUUUUUACCAUAAAAUGGGGUUAUGGAUGAAAGGCGUAGAAGAAAAGAUGAAUAGAAGCUUUUUUGGUCAUAGGUCUCCUAUUUUACCAGCUGUUUGAUCUUUGUCACAAUCAUUUUAAUUUUUAUCUACCUUAUUUUCUUUAUAUAUAAAAUGAAAGUGUUAGAUCAAUUGAUUUAUAUAAGACAUAUUUCAACACUGCCAUUUGGGAUUUGGAGCAUUCUUCUACAAUCUUCUUUCCCUUUUGAGACUUUUACUUAAAUCUAAUAAAGAAAUCUCUUUAAUAGCAUAUUAACCCUAAAGUAAUCUUAGUAGCAAAGCUAAUUUGUACCUGGAAUUCCUGACUUGACUUUGUAGUGUCUUUUUUUAUAUUCUGUUAAUUCUUUUUUAAAAAUGGAAAGUUUCGCCAAAGAAUAACAAUGGGAAUUGCCCCUAUUUGAAUAAUUUAAUUUGUGUAUGAACAUUCAUGUAAGGAAAACUGAUAGAAACAACUUGUGAAGGAACGUGGUGUCUCAGAUAAAAAAAAUGUUGCUGAGGGACUGUUCUGAGGACAAGAUAGAGAUUACUGGGAGGUAAAGAUAACCUCAGGACAUUAUAGUCCAUCUUUCCUUUUGUAUGUGGCUUGCCAGAGUUUUGAAGGCUAUAAUUGACAAAAUUGUAAAUCAUACAAUAGUCAUACCUGGCUGAAAGGUUGAAAUGUUGAGUUUCACAUCAUAAGUUAGAAGUGUUACAGCUUAUGAGGAGGCACUGGUUUGAGGUAUGAGACCCUAGAGAGAGAUGAAAUUAUAGGAACAGAGAGGAAGCUAGAGCAGGGGCUAGACAGAGCCAAGAGAGUAAAUUGAAUGUAGAAAGAAGCUAUAGGAGCCAGGAAAGAAGACUAAGAAACAAGGAAAACUGGUUCCAACUGAGAUAGGUAAUUUUUCAGCUGCUUUUGCUGGGGGAGGAGGGUCAGCUUAGAGAAUUCUUUAGUUGAGAUAUCAGUGAAGAGAUCACCCUUACUACUGUAAGCCACUGGUUUAUGGCUUUCUGCUGCCAUCUAUAUCCUGGGGGAAUAGAAUGGAGAACUUUUCGGGAAUUCUGAUUGCCCUUUAUUUCUUCUAUGGUCUGGUGCUGGAGAAACAGAAGAGAAUUUCCAUCUCUUUUGCCGUUGGUUGUAUUUAUUGGAGAAGAAGCUUUGCUUCCCUAGAUAUUGAUUGGAGAAAGCAGAAAUCUGCUGAAUGAAGAGCUGACUGGAUGUUUCUGCCUUGACCAGAGAGUGCUCCUGAGUUGCUUUGCAAUUGGAUGGCUUAAGGGAACUGCUUUUACUUGGUGAUUUUGUGUGUAUGUGUGUGUGUGUGUGUGUGUGUGUGUGUUUCACUUUUUUUGCUAAAAGCAUUCCUUUGUCUCAUUAAUCAGAGGGGUAGUUUUUGCCCAGCCAUCUUCUGAGAACCAGAAGGGAAACAAUGAAACAAUGAAGAGAGAAGUAAUUUCUUGUUCUUGAUAGCACUAAGGCCAUCAAAGUCUACAUUUCAGAGUUGUGAGUUUGCAUGGACCUGAGUUUUCCUAUUCAAGUAAGUGCUUGCUAGGUUUCUAUGUGUGACCCUUUUUAACCAUGAAUACAUUACAUACAUUGGUAGGAGAGUAUAAUCCAAGCUUAUGGGAUAAUUGUGUUUUUAUGAUUAUUCCUACUUUUUCCUUCUAUCAAAUAACUAAUGUUUGAUGUUUCCAUUUUUGCCUUAUCCUUUAGUGCUUUCUAUUUAAGAAUUAAUAAUGUUACUCUGAUUUGUUUUAUAUAGAAUCAUUAGUAGGAGUGACAGUGGCAAAUGUUAAAUAACCUUCCAAAUCAGGGUUAUCUCUAUUACUUUGAGAAAGAGAUAAAGUAACAGCCUCAUGUGAGGUCUGUUCACCUCUGGAAACUCCAGAUCUACCAACAUGAGUGCAGGUCAAGUGAGAUAAGUAGGUCACAGAGCUGAGUAAGGAGCCUAGGCUCUAUGUAUAUUUAAUUUAAAUGCGUCUAUUGUUGUACUAACAAUCAUGAACCUUAAAAAACUUAAACACAUAUAGAAAUUUUAAGGGGUGAAAUUAUAUUUGAUAACACUAUCAGUAGAGACACUGAAGCUUAGGAAUAAGGAGGUGCCUAUUAAAGCUUUUUUUUUAGGAACAUCAUUGUGUUAUCUAUGGAGGAUGGAUUGGAGUAAGUAAGGAAUAGGAAGAAUUAGGAGACUACUGAAGUAGUCCAGGUGAGAAGUGUUUGAGGGCAUAAACUAAAGUGUUGGUUUUAGUAAUAGGGACGACACAUGAGAGAGAUGUAGUGAUAGAAUCUGAUUUGAUAACUGUGUGUAUAGGUUGAGGAGGAGUGAAAAGUCAGUUAGCACUGAAGUCACACAAAAGGUGAUAAUAGGUUAGGUGACAGCAGGGCUACCCAGAAGAAAGGAAAGAAGGAAAAAGAAUUUUGGAAGCCAUGGCUUUGGGAGGAAAGAUUAUAAAAUAAAAAAGAUGAGGGCUACAACCCAUCUGUGCUUAUUCAUCACUCUUUCCCGCUCAAAUUGAAAAGGGAGGGGGCCCUGAUAUGGACCUGCUCACUAAAAGGUGCCUGCAGCAUAUACACACGAAAUGAACUGAGAAACUGAUGGCUGGAUUUUCCCAGUGGCUUCUGUGAUCUCCUAAGUUAAUUAAUACAUAAGAGUCAUAGUUGGAAAGUUUUGCAUAAUGGAAUACAGGUAGAGAGUGGCCAGCUCUGCCACGGACUCUCAUAUCCUCCUCCCGUUUUGAAAUUGGUCAAUCUUCCAUUACUUUGGAGACAAUGAAUUCUUCUCAAACUCAGAUUUUGUUUGUAUCAGGUCUGUACCACUUACACUGUAUCUAAAAAGUUAGGAACUGCUUGUAGCCUGUUGGAAGUCUCAGGUUGCAGGUUUGAGAUAACUGACUUGUAGUAAGAAGGGAUUAGGCAGCUUGUAGCAGCCCAUACCCACUACUGUGGACUUCUUGAGACAGGUGAGAGGGCCUUGGAAUCUCAAAUAGAUGUUUUCGCCUGCUUAAUAGCAGUUAUCUAACUCAUUGUUGCAUUCUUCAGUCCCAAUCUUGGAGACAUUGGGGAAAGAUAGAUAACAACAGGGAUGGAGGUGGGGGGAGAUAUCUGGGAAAGGAUAUCUUUAUAGGCGAACUCUUAGUAUUCUCUUCUUCUCUUAUCCAGCCAGUGAGGGCUCCUUUAAUUUGAUCCUUCACCCUGGCAAGGACAAAGCACAUUCCACUGACUGAUAUUCUUAAAGCCCCCAAGCAGCCUCUGCUGACUGCUGCCAUGGUUGCCGU